AUACGGAGGGUGCAAGCGUUGUUCGGAAUCACUGGGCGUAAAGGGCGCGCAGGCGGUUUGGUAAGUCAGAUGCGAAAGCCCAUGGCUCAACCAUGGAAGUGCAUUUGAAACUGUCAGACUUGAGUAAUAGAGGGGAAAGUGGAAUUCCCGGUGUAGAGGUGAAAUUCGUAGAUAUCGGGAGGAAUACCGGUGGCGAAGGCGACUUUCUGGCUAGAUACUGACGCUGAGGCGCGAAAGCGUGGGGAGCAAACAGGAUUAGAAACCCUAGUAGUCC
This 274-nucleotide ribosomal RNA is filed under the name uncultured bacterium. Its description in RNAcentral is "partial 16S ribosomal RNA". It matches the Rfam family "Bacterial small subunit ribosomal RNA", at positions 523 to 796 of the family's 1533-position model. The record is from RNAcentral.